UGCGCAGGUGGUUUGUUAAGUCAGAUGUGAAAGCCCCGAGCUUAACUUGGUAACUGCGUUUGAAACUGGCCAGCUAGAGUCUGUCAGAGGGGGGUAGAAUUCCACGUGUAGCAGUGAAAUGCGCACAGAUGUGUAGGAAUACCAAUGUCGAAGGCAGCCCCCUGGGAUAAGACUGACGCUCAUGCACGAAAGCGUGGGGAGUAAACAGUAUUUAGAUACCCUGGUAGCCCACGCCCUAAACGAUGUCAACUGGUUGUUGGGCAACUUGAUUGUUCAGUAUCGAAGCUAACGCGAGAAGUUUACCGCCUGGGGAGUACGGUCGCAAGAUUAAAACUCAAAAGAAUUGACGGGGAUCCGCACAAGCGGUGGAUGAUGUGGAUUAAUUCGAAGCAGCGCGAAAAGCCUUUCCUGUCCUAGACAUGUACGGAAGUGUGCUGAGAGGUGGAUGUGCCUGAAAGGAGAACCGUAGCACAGGUGCUGCAUGGCUGUCGUCAGCUCGUGUCGUGAGAUGUUGGGAUAAGUCACGCAACGAGCACAAACCUUGCUAUUAAUUGCCAUCAAUAAGUUGGGCCCUUUAAUAGGACUGCUGGUGAUAAACCGGAGGAAGGUGGGGAUGACGUCAAGUCAUCAUGACCCUUAUGGGUAGGGCUUCACACGUCAUACAAUGGCCGGUUCAGAGGGAUGCCAACCCGCGAGGGGGAGCCAAUCUCAGAAAGCCGGUCGUAAUCCGGAUUGUUCUCUGCAACUCGAGAGCAUGAAGUCGGAUUCAGGGGUAUUCGCGGAUCAACAUGUCGCGGAGAACCCUUUAAAAGGGUCU
RNAcentral lists this ribosomal RNA (817 nucleotides) under uncultured bacterium. RNAcentral describes it as "bacterial SSU rRNA". It matches the Rfam family "Bacterial small subunit ribosomal RNA", at positions 568 to 1381 of the family's 1533-position model. The record is from RNAcentral.